UCAUACUAAGCGGGGCAGUAGCGGCGCCUUGUACCCGAAAUCCGCUAUAUCGGGGCCGAAUUCUCCUUAGGAGGUGUUGGCUUGUGCGGUCUGCGCCGCAUUCCUUUGUGUUGAAGAAUGGGUCUUGUGCAAUGAAAAACCGUGAACCAUGUCAGGUGGGGAACCAAGCAGCAUUAAGCGGAGCUUUUUAUGUGCCACAGGGGUGCCUGUUCGGAGCAAAGUGUGCGGUUAACGCGUGUAAGUUUGCAUCGAAUUUGGGGUGUAUGA
This 267-nucleotide signal recognition particle RNA is filed under the name Clostridia bacterium. RNAcentral describes it as "signal recognition particle sRNA large type". It matches the Rfam family "Bacterial large signal recognition particle RNA". From Rfam's summary of the family: The signal recognition particle (SRP) is a universally conserved ribonucleoprotein involved in the co-translational targeting of proteins to membranes. Archaeal SRP consists of a 7S RNA and homologues of the eukaryotic SRP19 and SRP54 proteins. The record is from RNAcentral. Lineage: Bacteria; Bacillati; Bacillota; Clostridia.